RNAcentral lists this long non-coding RNA (1263 nucleotides) under Phascolarctos cinereus (koala). Its description in RNAcentral is "lncRNA (ENSPCIG00000036545.1)". Lineage: Eukaryota; Metazoa; Chordata; Mammalia; Diprotodontia; Phascolarctidae. The record is from RNAcentral.
GGGGUGGGGGCGGGAAAUAAAAUCAUCCCAGAGUUGGGGGUGGGGUUGGGUUGGACUCCUCCCUGUUUUAAAAAGCGGGGCCGCCGAGGGGCGGGGCUUUCAGGCCCGGAGUUGGAGGGUUUUGGCCAAGCCUGAACAGGCUGACCUGACUCCCCCUCCCCACCUCCGAACAAGGGAAGGAGGCGACGGUCUGGGGUGGCAGGGCAGACUGGGGCAGGAGCUAGAAGGCCCGGUUGAGGGUAGAGGACUCCGGAGUCCUGGCCUGGAAACAGCAGGCUCCAGGGAGCCCUGGCGGUGGCUGCAUCUGGGGACCGAGGAGGAAGAGGAGGCACCAGCUAAUGCUGCGAGGAGAAGCAGGGGCCAAUGCUGCGCCUGGAGGAAGGGAGGCUGCGGAUGGACGAGUCCCCGGAACCGGAGAGGGAAGAGAGGCUGCUGGCGCUGCUGGGCCUGGUAGGCACAGCACUCAACCUGCUGGUCCUCGUCUGUGUCUACGUCUACACCACCCUCUGAGCUGAUGUCACCUACUUGGGGCGGGGCCCGGGAAAACCCUCUAAGGUUUUCCUUAGAGUCUAUGGAGCUGGAGGCGGGGCCUUUACAUCUUCUGAAGACUAGGUCUGCAUGGAGGGGGCGGGGCCGGGGAUCAGGGAUGGGGCUUGGAACUACUCUCUGAGGGAAGUGCCACUAGUGGCGGGAGGCGGGUCCUGGAAAGAAGGGGAGGGGGGCCUUCCCACCUACGGAGGGCGGAACCUCGGGACCGCGAGCGGGGACUGACUUUAGUCUCGGAAGGUGGGGCCGGGUGGAGGGAGGUGGAGCAGGUAAGGAGGGAGCUGGGUCUUUGGGUGCUUGUCGAAACACCUCACUCUAUUGGGGGAUAGAAUGGAUGGAGUCCUACAGGCCCCAGAUGCCUUGACCCCAGCACCUCCCACGCUGAAACUCAGUGAGGAGGGAGGAAGGCCCUGGCCCCAAACACUCCAAUGCAGAACCAGCCAGCAUAGUCUACAUCAGCGUGGAAGCGGAUUCCCAGCUUAGUAGGGCUAUCCCUCUCUCUGCAGUCCCUGUGGGGCAAGAUUCCCGUGUGGGGUCCUGGGGAGCUCUAAAGCCGAGCUCCAGAGGGUUUUGCAUCUCUUCAGAAUCUGAGGUCGCAGGUGGGGAGGAUGGAGUCUCUCUUCCCGAGAAUCUCUCUGGGGGUCUGGGGUAGGAUGAGAUGGGAUUCUCUUUGGUACUACCGAAUGUGAAAUAAACACGGCCAUGGCCAUGGUAACA